UCGGCUUAGAGUUUGAUCAUGGCUCAGAUUGAACGCUGGCGGCAGGCCUAACACAUGCAAGUCGAGCGGUAGGGAAGCUUGCUUCUCACGAGCGGCGGACGGGUGAGUAAUGUAUGGGGAUCUGCCCGAUAGAGGGGGAUAACUACUGGAAACGGUAGCUAAUACCGCAUAAUCUCUAAGGAGCAAAGCAGUUCGUUGCGCUAUCGGAUGAACCCAUAUGGGAUUAGCUAGUUGGUGAGGUAAUGGCUCACCAAGGCGACGAUCCCUAGCUGGUCUGAGAGGAUGAUCAGCCACACUGGGACUGAGACACGGCCCAGACUCCUACGGGAGGCAGCAGUGGGGAAUAUUGCACAAUGGGCGCAAGCCUGAUGCAGCCAUGCCGCGUGUAUGAAGAAGGCC
Molecule: ribosomal RNA, 399 nt
Filed under: uncultured Providencia sp.
Lineage: Bacteria; Pseudomonadati; Pseudomonadota; Gammaproteobacteria; Enterobacterales; Morganellaceae
Description: bacterial SSU rRNA
Rfam family: Bacterial small subunit ribosomal RNA
Source: RNAcentral